This 666-nucleotide ribosomal RNA is filed under the name uncultured bacterium. Its description in RNAcentral is "bacterial SSU rRNA". It matches the Rfam family "Bacterial small subunit ribosomal RNA", at positions 95 to 747 of the family's 1533-position model. The record is from RNAcentral.
GUGGCGGACGGGUGAGUAACACGUGGGUAACCUGCCCUUAAGUGGGGGAUAACAUUUGGAAACAGAUGCUAAUACCGCAUAGAUCCAAGAACCGCAUGGUUCUUGGCUGAAAGAUGGCGUAAGCUAUCGCUUUUGGAUGGACCCGCGGCGUAUUAGCUAGUUGGUGAGGUAAUGGCUCACCAAGGCGAUGAUACGUAGCCGAACUGAGAGGUUGAUCGGCCACAUUGGGACUGAGACACGGCCCAAACUCCUACGGGAGGCAGCAGUAGGGAAUCUUCCACAAUGGACGCAAGUCUGAUGGAGCAACGCCGCGUGAGUGAAGAAGGCUUUCGGGUCGUAAAACUCUGUUGUUGGAGAAGAAUGGUCGGCGGAGUAACUGUUGCCGGCGUGACGGUAUCCAACCAGAAAGCCACGGCUAACUACGUGCCAGCAGCCGCGGUAAUACGUAGGUGGCAAGCGUUAUCCGGAUUUAUUGGGCGUAAAGCGAGCGCAGGCGGUUUUUUAAGUCUGAUGUGAAAGCCCUCGGCUUAACCGAGGAAGCGCAUCGGAAACUGGGAAACUUGAGUGCAGAAGAGGACAGUGGAACUCCAUGUGUAGCGGUGAAAUGCGUAGAUAUAUGGAAGAACACCAGUGGCGAAGGCGGCUGUCUGGUCUGUAACUGACGCU